UAAACAAAGCGACAAUAACGGCAAUGUAAAGUUUGCGGAGACAAAAAAUUUCACCUUUGAAUAUAAAUAGAAACACUGAAUAGGCAGUACGGAAAAAAAUUUUUCUUAAAUCAACCCCAGACUUGAACCAAAAUAUAAAAAAUGUGAAAUUUGGAUGAAAAAGAAGCGUAUACAGCGUAUCAGGAACGUAUAGUUUGUAGGAAAAAACGCUGGAUUUAUCCUUUUCAAAAUCUCGUGGUAAAUGUACUGAGCCUUUCUAUAAAGCCCACCCAAGCCCUGUAAGGUACCGGACGAAAAAAGUCUCGCUACAGGGGGUUAAGAUGAUAAGAAAGGCUAGGGUGCUAGAUUAUUUAUCUAAUAAGGUAGUGUAAAGAAGUAAAACAAACUAGAGAAGUAGAAAAUAUAGGAAUUAAUGAAAUGG
Molecule: non-coding RNA, 421 nt
Organism: Schizosaccharomyces pombe (fission yeast)
Lineage: Eukaryota; Fungi; Ascomycota; Schizosaccharomycetes; Schizosaccharomycetales; Schizosaccharomycetaceae
Source: the annotation of a GenBank genome assembly